RNAcentral lists this ribosomal RNA (497 nucleotides) under uncultured bacterium. RNAcentral describes it as "partial 16S ribosomal RNA". It matches the Rfam family "Bacterial small subunit ribosomal RNA", at positions 28 to 507 of the family's 1533-position model. The record is from RNAcentral.
GAUGAACGCUGGCGGCGUGCCUAAUACAUGCAAGUCGAGCGAACAGACGAGGAGCUUGCUCCUCUGACGUUAGCGGCGGACGGGUGAGUAACACGUGGAUAACCUACCUAUAAGACUGGGAUAACUUCGGGAAACCGGAGCUAAUACCGGAUAAUAUAUUGAACCGCAUGGUUCAAUAGUGAAAUACGGUUUUGCUGUCACUUAUAGCUGGAUCCGCGCCGCAUUAGCUAGUUGGUAAGGUAACGGCUUACCAAGGCAACGAUGCGUAGCCGACCUGAGAGGGUGAUCGGCCACACUGGAACUGGACCACGGUCCAGACUCCUACGGGAGGCAGCAGUAGCGAAUCUUCCGCAAUGGGCGAAAGCCUGACGGAGCAACGCAGCGUGAGUGAUGAAGGUCUUCGGAUCGUAAAACUCUGUUAUUAGGGAAGAACAAAUGUGUAAGUAACUAUGCACGUCUUGACGGUACCUAAUCAGAAAGCCACGGCUAACUACGUG